Trichonephila inaurata madagascariensis is the source of this 72-nucleotide non-coding RNA. Lineage: Eukaryota; Metazoa; Arthropoda; Arachnida; Araneae; Nephilidae. The record is from the annotation of a GenBank genome assembly.
GCCAUCAUAGCUCAGUGACAGACCACUAAUCUUGUAAAUCAGGGGUCGUGAGUUCGAUCCUCACUGGUGGCU